GGAGGUCCAGCCCAUGACUCAGCACAGAAGGAGCAGUUAGAGCCUGGUGAGGAGGACAUGUGCAAGAACUAACAGCCUUUUUAUUUCACUUGCAUGACAUCAACCGUAGUUAUGUCACACACGCCUGGGAUGGCCUCCGUCUGUUACUGAACAAACUUAUGGUGACUUGGGCUGCACAGUCAGUCCUUCCCUGUCCAGCUUAGAAAGGCCUUCCCAGGGACUUCCCUAGUGGCCCAGUGGUUAAGAAUCCGCCUGCCGAUGCAGGGGACUCGAUCCCUGGUCCGGGAAGAUCCCACAUGCCGCGGAGCAACUAAGCCCAUGCACCACAACUACUGAGCCUGCACUCUAGAGCCUGCGUGCCACAACUACUGAAGCCCACGCGCCUAAAGCCUGUACUCUGCAACAAGAGAAGCCACCACAGUGAGAAGCCCGUGCACCGCAACAAAGAGUAGCCCCCACUCACUGAAACUAGAGAAAGCCUGUGUGCAGCAACGAAGACCUAACACAGCCAAAAAUAAAUAAAAAAAGAAAAUAAAUUUUAAAAAAUAAUAAA
Long non-coding RNA from Orcinus orca (killer whale), 553 nucleotides. RefSeq lists it as uncharacterized. The record is from RefSeq and is a predicted model, not a curated record. The transcript is spliced from 2 exons. Lineage: Eukaryota; Metazoa; Chordata; Mammalia; Artiodactyla; Delphinidae.